This 664-nucleotide ribosomal RNA is filed under the name uncultured cyanobacterium. RNAcentral describes it as "partial 16S ribosomal RNA". The record is from RNAcentral. Lineage: Bacteria; Bacillati; Cyanobacteriota.
UGACUACAGGGGUAUCUAAUCCCUUUCGCUCCCCUAGCUUUCGUCCCUCAGUGUCAGUGCAGACCCAGCAAGGCGCCUUCGCCACCGAUGUUCUUCCCAAUAUCUACGCAUUUCACCGCUACACUGGGAAUUCCCCUUGCCCCUAUCGCACUCUAGCCACCCAGUUUCAAUUGCCCUUAUAGAGUUAAGCUCUACGCUUUAACAACUGACUUGGAUAACCACCUACGGACGCUUUACGCCCAAUAAUUCCGGAUAACGCUUGCCUCCUCCGUAUUACCGCGGCUGCUGGCACGGAGUUAGCCGAGGCUGAUUCGAUAGGUACCGUCAUUGUGUUCCCCCCUAUCAAAAGAGGUUUACAACCAGUAGGCCUUCCUCCCUCACGCGGUCUUGCUCCGUCAGGCUUUCGCCCAUUGCGGAAAAUUCCCCACUGCUGCCUCCCGUAGGAGUCUGGGCCGUGUCUCAGUCCCAGUGUGACUGAUCAUCCUCUCAGACCAGCUACUGAUCGUCGCCUUGGUAGUCCCUUACACUACCAACUAGCUAAUCAGACGCGAGCUCUUCCCCAGGCCAUAUAAGUUUUACCUCUCGGCACAUCGGGUAUUAGCAGUCGUUUCCAACUGUUGUCCCCAUCCUAAGGGUAGAUUCUCACGCGUUACUCACCCGUCCG